UGGGGAAUAUUGGACAAUGGGCGAAAGCCUGAUCCAGCCAUGCCGCGUGUGUGAAGAAGGUCUUCGGAUUGUAAAGCACUUUAAGUUGGGAGGAAGGGCAUUAACCUAAUACGUUAGUGUUUUGACGUUACCGACAGAAUAAGCACCGGCUAACUCUGUGCCAGCAGCCGCGGUAAUACAGAGGGUGCAAGCGUUAAUCGGAAUUACUGGGCGUAAAGCGCGCGUAGGUGGUUUGUUAAGUUGGAUGUGAAAUCCCCGGGCUCAACCUGGGAACUGCAUUCAAAACUGACUGACUAGAGUAUGGUAGAGGGUGGUGGAAUUUCCUGUGUAGCGGUGAAAUGCGUAGAUAUAGGAAGGAACACCAGUGGCGGAGGCGACCACCUGGACUAAUACUGACACUGAGGUGCGAAAGCGUGGGGAGCAAACA
Molecule: ribosomal RNA, 427 nt
Filed under: uncultured bacterium
Lineage: Bacteria
Description: partial 16S ribosomal RNA
Rfam family: Bacterial small subunit ribosomal RNA
Source: RNAcentral